Long non-coding RNA from Ailuropoda melanoleuca (giant panda), 407 nucleotides. RefSeq lists it as uncharacterized. The transcript has 3 exons. The record is from RefSeq and is a predicted model, not a curated record. Lineage: Eukaryota; Metazoa; Chordata; Mammalia; Carnivora; Ursidae.
CUCCUCUCCCUAUGCUGGCCCAUUCAGGGGAAAUGCACUAGUACUGGUGGAUUAGUGGGGAUGGUGUUCUUGAGGAAGGGGGAGAAUGGGAGCUCCUGCAUGGUGGGGGAUCUCAUUGAAGACCUUGUUUCUGAAAUCUUGGAGGCUCCUUUCCCCUAGUCCACAAUCUCACUUCGCACAUCAUCAGGACACUGGAGAACUCUAUCAUGAGAGAGAAUUCAUCCCUGUUUUGAAUCAUCUUUACAUGCCUCAGGGACCAGUUUGAGAGUCUGUGUGCAACCCUAGAAGCCACAUGCUGGAGAUGGUGGAGCCACGAUGGAAAGAGCUUGGUUCCCAGCCUCACCAUUGUGAGAGAUAAACUUUCCUUAUGUGAAACCCCUGGGAUGUGAGGGUUUAUCUGUUACAAC